Molecule: ribosomal RNA, 514 nt
Filed under: uncultured bacterium
Lineage: Bacteria
Description: partial 16S ribosomal RNA
Rfam family: Bacterial small subunit ribosomal RNA
Source: RNAcentral
GAUGAACGCUGGCGGCGUGCCUAAUACAUGCAAGUCGAGCGAAUGGAUUAAGAGCUUGCUCUUAUGAAGUUAGCGGCGGACGGGUGAGUAACACGUGGGUAACCUGCCCAUAAGACUGGGAUAACUCCGGGAAACCGGGGCUAAUACCGGAUAACAUUUUGAACCGCAUGGUUCGAAAUUGAAAGGCGGCUUCGGCUGUCACUUAUGGAUGGACCCGCGUCGCAUUAGCUAGUUGGUGAGGUAACGGCUCACCAAGGCAACGAUGCGUAGCCGACCUGAGGGGGUGAUCGGCCACACUGGGACUGAGACACGGCCCAGACUCCUACGGGAGGCAGCAGGAGGGAAUCUUCCGCAUGGACGAAAGUCUGACGGAGCAACGCCGCGUGAGUGAUAAAGGCUUUCGGGUCGUAAAACUCUGUUGUUAGGGAAGAACAAGUGCUAGUUGAAUAAGCUGGCACCUUGACGGUACCUAACCAGAAAGCCAUGGCUAACUACGUGCCAGCAGCCGCCGUAA